AUUGAACGCUGGCGGAAUGCUUUACACAUGCAAGUCGAACGGUAGAGGGGGCAACCCCUUGAGAGUGGCGAACGGGUGAGUAAUAUAUCGGAACGUGCCCAGUCGUGGGGAUAACGUAGCGAAAGUUACGCUAAUACCGCAUACGAUCUACGGAUGAAAGCGGGGGACUCGCAAGAGCCUCGCGCGAUUGGAGCGGCCGAUAUCAGAUUAGGUAGUUGGUGGGGUAAAGGCUCACCAAGCCAACGAUCUGUAGCUGGUCUGAGAGGACGACCAGCCACACUGGAACUGAGACACGGUCCAGACUCCUACGGGAGGCAGCAGUGGGGAAUUUUGGACAAUGGGCGCAAGCCUGAUCCAGCAAUGCCGCGUGCAGGAUGAAGGCCUCGGUUGUAACUAGCUUUUGUACGGUAACGAAACGGUAGGAGAC
This 427-nucleotide ribosomal RNA is filed under the name uncultured bacterium. RNAcentral's name for it is "bacterial SSU rRNA". It matches the Rfam family "Bacterial small subunit ribosomal RNA", at positions 30 to 462 of the family's 1533-position model. The record is from RNAcentral.